Molecule: non-coding RNA, 344 nt
Organism: Paramuricea clavata
Lineage: Eukaryota; Metazoa; Cnidaria; Anthozoa; Malacalcyonacea; Plexauridae
Source: the annotation of a GenBank genome assembly
CUUCAUUGUAAAUAUAAAACUUCAUUGUAAAUAUAAUACUCCUUCGCAAUGAUAUAACAACUUCCAUGUCACAUUUAUAAUUGUCAUCACUAAUAAUCACUAAUAUAAACUUCAUUACUGUGCCUGCAAAUCAGGGCUCAAUCUAUGGGCUCGAGUUACCUGUUCGUGGGUAUGCGUAUUGCGCGCUUAGUAUUGCGCAAUAUAUUUGGCGGGAAAUCACAAAUAGCGAAAUUCAAAAUGGCGGUCAAUGUUCGUUUUACUAUUGUUCCCAGUCAACUGCGAAACGACCGGUUUUUUAGGCGCUUUGUCAGUGACAGUUUUGUCAAUUACGAAGGACAUGUUUG